CAAGACAAUCAGGGCAAUAGACUCAGCCUCUUUUCUGCAAAUAAUUCUUCCAUCUUGAUAAUCAUAAUUCUCUUCUAAUGUUGGGUCGUCUGUGAUCCCCAGAUCCCCCGACCGAAAUCGGGAUGCCUCGAGGUUCGACCGUAGAGUCCCAAACUCCCUCGACCUCGGGAAGUAUCGCAGGACGAUGAAACAUCGACUUGGCGCAAGAUUCC
Molecule: long non-coding RNA, 212 nt
Filed under: Phoenix dactylifera (date palm)
Lineage: Eukaryota; Viridiplantae; Streptophyta; Magnoliopsida; Arecales; Arecaceae
Description: long non-coding RNA (PDAC_LNC000435)
Source: RNAcentral